CGUAAUUUAAUUACAAAAUAAAUGUAACAGUAAUCAGUUACAGUUACUAAGAAAAAAUGAGUAAUUAAAUUACAGUUACUUAUGAAAAUUGUAACUUUUACAAAGAGGAUUACAUUUGAAUAUUUACACACAUCCACAUUCAGCUUAUUUCUUUCCCAAAUUGCACUAAGCAACCCGUUCUCAUCAGUCUGCGUAUAAAUAACACGACUUUACACUUUCUAUUUGCGUGUAAUGCAUACGCCAAAUGCCAUUUUUGCGUGCAUAUGAUACGCCAAUCCUUCCCAUUAAUUUCGGUGGAGAGCAGAUGCGUCCAAAUAACACGCAUCAUCUUCAGCGGCAGUGACGUCACCAGCGAGGCUCGUUCAGUUCACCUGAUGCGCGUACACCUUCAAACAGGUAAGCAAGGUUACGUCGGAUUACAUACUCCACAACAACCUGUAAUCCAGCAGAUCUUUAAAGAAGCCAUCUCUUGUAAAAUCUCUCUCUCUCUCUCUCUCUCUCUCUCUCGCUCUGCUAGAAUUAACAGGGAACUUCAACUCCACGCUCCCAAUGCUGAUAUUGAAGAAGCUGUCAAGGGGGCUGAACAAGUCCUUCAGAGGAUCAACCCUUCACAGGAAGGCCUGUCAUGAGAUUUGAAUUUGACCAUCUUGUGCAUUUAUGAAGAAGACCAAAAGCUGCCAAGGCAAACACUUCCAAUGGAUUUCUCACAGAUUACUUAAUCAUUCUUCAUCAGCUCUUCACAAUAUCAGCCCAUUCAAAAGCUUCCAGAUCUUCCUCUCUUGUGUGACACAUCUGCUCUCAGUCCUUUACUGCCAACCUCUACAUUCAUCACUCCAAUCUCUACUAUAAGCACUCCUGUAUAUAUAUAUAUAUAUAUAUAUAUAUAUAUAUAUAUAUAUAUAUAUAUAUAUA
Carassius gibelio (silver crucian carp) is the source of this 912-nucleotide long non-coding RNA. RefSeq lists it as uncharacterized. The record is from RefSeq and is a predicted model, not a curated record. The transcript is spliced from 4 exons. NCBI's taxonomy places the organism in Eukaryota, Metazoa, Chordata, Actinopteri, Cypriniformes, Cyprinidae.